GACGAACGCUGGCGGCGUGCUUAACACAUGCAAGUCGAACGAAGAGCGAUGGAAGCUUGCUUCUAUCAAUCUUAGUGGCGAACGGGUGAGUAACGCGUAAUCAACCUGCCCUUCAGAGGGGGACAACAGUUGGAAACGACUGCUAAUACCGCAUACGAUCUAAUCUCGGCAUCGAGGAUGGAUGAAAGGUGGCCUCUACAUGUAAGCUAUCACUGAAGGAGGGGAUUGCGUCUGAUUAGCUAGUUGGAGGGGUAACGGCCCACCAAGGCGAUGAUCAGUAGCCGGUCUGAGAGGAUGAACGGCCACAUUGGGACUGAGACACGGCCCAGACUCCUACGGGAGGCAGCAGUGGGGCAUCUUCCGCAAUGGACGAAAGUCUGACGGAGCAACGCCGCGUGAGUGAUGACGGCCUUCGGGUUGUAAAGCUCUGUUAAUCGGGACGAAAGGCCUUCUUGCGAAUAGUGAGAAGGAUUGACGGUACCGGAAUAGAAAGCCACGGCUAACUACGUG
RNAcentral lists this ribosomal RNA (510 nucleotides) under uncultured bacterium. RNAcentral describes it as "partial 16S ribosomal RNA". It matches the Rfam family "Bacterial small subunit ribosomal RNA", at positions 28 to 507 of the family's 1533-position model. The record is from RNAcentral.